CUCCCGUUAGGGAGAGGCUAGGGAUUCCGGCCUUUGGAGCCGGAGACCCCGGUUCGAAUCCGGGCCGGGCUA
RNAcentral lists this transfer RNA (72 nucleotides) under Thermoprotei archaeon. RNAcentral describes it as "tRNA-Gln". The stretch from base 16 to 72 matches the Rfam family "tRNA". From Rfam's summary of the family: Transfer RNA (tRNA) molecules are approximately 80 nucleotides in length. Lineage: Archaea; Thermoproteati; Thermoproteota; Thermoprotei. The record is from RNAcentral.